UUGCAGGUGUUUGGCACCAGACAGUCUCGGU
Molecule: non-coding RNA, 31 nt
Filed under: Homo sapiens (human)
Lineage: Eukaryota; Metazoa; Chordata; Mammalia; Primates; Hominidae
Source: RNAcentral